CGCUUCAGCCAUACCCUUCGUCGGAACCACCACUAAAACCCUACUACCCACUACCACAAUCAAACUAUUCACCCACAUGGGGACAGCCCAGAGGUACUCUGGAUCUUAUGGAAGCUGUCAUAAUUGUAAACAAGCUGGGCACAUGGUGCGACAGUGUCCGCACCCAAUAACCCCGGCCCAAAGCCAGUUUCUGGCCAAAAGGGGACGAGGAUACGCCCCUAGACCAAGGGGAGUCAGGCCAAUGAUGUAUCAACCACGUGCGGCCCUUCAACCCGCAUACAAUCACCCAAUCCAGACCCGAAUCAGCAAUCACCUCCCCCUUUUCAGGGCAUGGCUGACGAAUAUGCCCCAUGGCCCUGAAGCUGCUCACCACUAAACUACACUCAUCAUUUUCCUGGACUACUGAAGCAUCAAAGGCUUUUGCACUCUUGAAAACAGAUCUCUAAGUGGCAGUAGCCCUAACAGCACCUGACUAAAAAACAAAAAAAAACAAAUUCC
Molecule: non-coding RNA, 498 nt
Organism: Salvelinus sp. IW2-2015
Lineage: Eukaryota; Metazoa; Chordata; Actinopteri; Salmoniformes; Salmonidae
Source: RefSeq, a predicted model, not a curated record